RNAcentral lists this ribosomal RNA (374 nucleotides) under uncultured bacterium. RNAcentral describes it as "bacterial SSU rRNA". It matches the Rfam family "Bacterial small subunit ribosomal RNA", at positions 524 to 898 of the family's 1533-position model. The record is from RNAcentral.
GACGUAGGGGGCCAGCGUUGCUCGGAAUUACUGGGCGUAAAGGGUUCGUAGGCGGUGUGGUAAGUCGGAAGUGAAAUCUCUGGGCUUAACCCAGAGGCUGCUUUCGAAACUGCCAUGCUAGAGUGCGGGAGAGGCGAGUGGAAUUGCAGGUGUAGCGGUGAAAUGCGUAGAUAUCUGCAGGAACACCCGUGGCGAAGGCGGCUCGCUGGACCGCAACUGACGCUGAGGAACGAAAGCUAGGGGAGCAAACAGGAUUAGAUACCCUGGUAGUCCUAGCCCUAAACCAUCAGGACUUGGGGUGGCCCGCGUUGGCGGGUCGUCCCGGAGCUAACGCGUUAAGUCCUGCGCCUGGGGAGUACGGUCGCAAGGCUGAA